Non-coding RNA from Cinara cedri, 275 nucleotides. Lineage: Eukaryota; Metazoa; Arthropoda; Insecta; Hemiptera; Aphididae. The record is from the annotation of a GenBank genome assembly.
CCUAUUAUGACUUUAAAUAGUUUGACCACAAAGUAGCAGUGAAAUAAAUAUAGCUAGUACAAAAAAUGUAGAUAAUUCUAGUUAAAAUAAUUUAAAUUGAGGAAAAAAAAAAUUACUAAUUAGUACACAUUAAAAGUUUGAUACUGGUAGACGUUUUACGGAAAUGGAAAAAUGUAAUAAAAAAAUGUGGAACGCUUCACGAUUUUGCGUGUCAUCCUUGCGCAGGGGCCAUGCUAAUCUUCUCUGUAUCGUUCCAAUUUUAGUAUAUGUACUGC